RNAcentral lists this ribosomal RNA (318 nucleotides) under uncultured bacterium. RNAcentral's name for it is "bacterial SSU rRNA". It matches the Rfam family "Bacterial small subunit ribosomal RNA", at positions 202 to 507 of the family's 1533-position model. The record is from RNAcentral.
GCCGGGACCUUCGGGCCUGGCGCGAUUGGAUGAGCCCACGUCGGAUUAGCUAGUUGGCGGGUAAAGGCCCACCAAGGCGACGAUCCGUAGCUGGUCUGAGAGGAUGAUCAGCCACACUGGAACUGAGACACGGUCCAGACUCCUACGGGAGGCAGCAGUAGGGAAUAUUGGACAAUAGGCGCAAGCCUGAUCCAGCCAUGCCGCGUGAGUGAAGAAGGCCCUCGGGUUGUAAAGCUCUUUUGUCCGGAAAGAAAAGCGCCGGGUUAAUACCCUGGUGUCCUGACGGUACCGGAAGAAUAAGCACCGGCUAACUUCGUG